Molecule: ribosomal RNA, 496 nt
Filed under: uncultured bacterium
Lineage: Bacteria
Description: partial 16S ribosomal RNA
Rfam family: Bacterial small subunit ribosomal RNA
Source: RNAcentral
GAUGAACGCUGGCGGCGUGCCUAACACAUGCAAGUCGAGCGAACAGACGAGGAGUUCGCUUCUCUGACGUUACCGACGGACGGGUGAGUAACACGUGGAUAACCUACCUAUAAGACUGGGAUAAGUUCGGGAAACCGGAGCUAAUACAGGAUAAUAUAUUGAACCGCAGGGUUCUAUAGAGAAAGACGGUUUUGCUGUCACUUAUAGAUGGAUCCGCGCCGCAUUAGCUAGUUGGUAAGGUAACGGCUUACCAAGGCAACGAUGCGUAGCCGACCUGAGAGGGUGAUCGGCCACACUGAACUGAGACACGGUCCAGACUCCUACGGGAGGCAGCAGUAGGGAAUCUUCCGCAAUGGGCGAAAGCCUGACGGAGCAACGCCGCGUGAGUGAUGAAGGUCUUCGGAUCGUAAAACUCUGUUAUUAGGGAAGAACAAAUGUGUAAGUAACUAUGCACGUCUUGACGGUACCUAAUCAGAAAGCCACGGCUAACUACGUG